GACGAACGCUGGCGGCGUGCCUAAUACAUGCAAGUAGAACGCUGAAGGAGGAGCUUGCUCUUCUGGAUGAGUUGCGAACGGGUGAGUAACGCGUAGGUAACCUGCCUGGUAGCGGGGGAUAACUAUUGGAAACGAUAGCUAAUACCGCAUAAAAUUGAUUAUUGCAUGAUAGUCAAUUAAAAGGUGCAAUUGCAUCACUACCAGAUGGACCUGCGUUGUAUUAGCUAGUUGGUGAGGUAACGGCUCACCAAAGCAACGAUACAUAGCCGACCUGAGAGGGGGAUCGGCCACACUGGGACUGAGACACGGCCCAGACUCCUACGGGAGGCAGCAGUAGGGAAUCUUCGGCAAUGGACGGAAGUCUGACCGAGCAACGCCGCGUGAGUGAAGAAGGUUUUCGGAUCGUAAAGCUCUGUUGUAAGAGAAGAACGAGUGUGAGAGUGGAAAGUUCACACUGUGACGGUAUCUUACCAGAAAGGGACGGCUAACUACGUG
RNAcentral lists this ribosomal RNA (495 nucleotides) under uncultured bacterium. RNAcentral describes it as "partial 16S ribosomal RNA". It matches the Rfam family "Bacterial small subunit ribosomal RNA", at positions 28 to 507 of the family's 1533-position model. The record is from RNAcentral.